Molecule: ribosomal RNA, 314 nt
Filed under: uncultured bacterium
Lineage: Bacteria
Description: bacterial SSU rRNA
Rfam family: Bacterial small subunit ribosomal RNA
Source: RNAcentral
AACGAACGCUGGUGGUGUGCCUCAUACAUGCAAGUCGUACGCGAAUCCUGCCGCAAGGCAGGGUUUGAGUGGCAAACGGGUGCGUAACACGUAGGUAAUCUUCCUUUGAGUUGGGGAUAAGCCCUCGAAAGGGGGUCUAAUACCGAAUAACACUUCGGGCCGGCAUCGGCCUGAAAUUAAAGAUGGCCUCUGCUUGCAAGCUAUCGCUCGGAGAUGAGCCUGCGGCCGAUUAGUUAGUUGGCGGGAUAAAAGCCACCAAGACUUCGAUCGGUAGCCGGUCUGAGAGGAUGUCCGGCCACACUGGGACUGAGAUA